CACGUAGGGUGCGAGCGUUGUCCGGAAUUAUUGGGCGUAAAGAGCUCGUAGGCGGUGUGUCGCGUCGGCCGUGAAAACCUGCAGCUUAACUGUGGGCUUGCGGUCGAUACGGGCAUCACUGGAGUUCGGCAGGGGAGACUGGAAUUCCUGGUGUAGCGGUGAAAUGCGCAGAUAUCAGGAAGAACACCCGUGGCUAAGGCGGCUCUCUAGUACGGUACUGACGCUGAGACGCGAAAGCGUGGGGAGCAAACAGG
RNAcentral lists this ribosomal RNA (254 nucleotides) under uncultured bacterium. RNAcentral describes it as "partial 16S ribosomal RNA". It matches the Rfam family "Bacterial small subunit ribosomal RNA", at positions 524 to 776 of the family's 1533-position model. The record is from RNAcentral.